GCUACUCUAAUAGACUUUAUUCACCACUGCAUUUUCCUUCUUUCCUCCUUGUUAGGUAAAAUGUGUGGCCACCACGCUACAUUGGAAGCUCUAGUGCAUUGCAUAGAGGUCAUUCCAGCUAAGAUGAGAACAAUCUCUUCACUUUUGUUUUCCUGAAAUAAUAUAAGAAGUGGGUUGUGUAGAUUGAUAUAAGACCCUUAUAUCAAGAACUGGAAUU
RNAcentral lists this unclassified non-coding RNA (217 nucleotides) under Hevea brasiliensis (rubber tree). The record is from RNAcentral. Lineage: Eukaryota; Viridiplantae; Streptophyta; Magnoliopsida; Malpighiales; Euphorbiaceae.